This 301-nucleotide ribosomal RNA is filed under the name uncultured bacterium. Its description in RNAcentral is "partial 16S ribosomal RNA". It matches the Rfam family "Bacterial small subunit ribosomal RNA", at positions 509 to 809 of the family's 1533-position model. The record is from RNAcentral.
CAGUCGCCGCGGUAAUACAGAGGGUGCGAGCGUUAAUCGGAUUUACUGGGCGUAAAGCGUGUGUAGGUUGUUGUUCAAGUCAGUUGUGAAAUCCCUGGGCUCAACCUGGGAACUGCUUCUGAGACUGAACGACUAGAGUACGGUAGAGGGUGGUGGAAUUUCCGGUGUAGCGGUGAAAUGCGUAGAUAUCGGAAGGAACAUCAAUGGCGAAGGCAGCCACCUGGGCCUGUACUGACACUGAGACACGAAAGCGUGGGGAUCAAACAGGAUUAGAUACCCGGGUAGUCCCUGUCUCUUAUAA